GGGCCGGUAGGUCAGCGGUGAGUGCAGCGGACUCAUAAUCCGUAGGUCGGUGGUUCGAAUCCAUCCCGGCCCA
This 73-nucleotide transfer RNA is filed under the name Propionibacteriales bacterium. RNAcentral describes it as "tRNA-Ile". It matches the Rfam family "tRNA". Rfam says of the family: Transfer RNA (tRNA) molecules are approximately 80 nucleotides in length. Their secondary structure includes four short double-helical elements and three loops (D, anti-codon, and T loops). Lineage: Bacteria; Bacillati; Actinomycetota; Actinomycetes; Propionibacteriales. The record is from RNAcentral.